UGAGACAUUCGUUGAAAAGGUACUUAAUACUUUACCUAUGAAGUUUGAUCAUAUUGUGGCAGUAAUUCAAGAGACCAAGGAUCUUUCAACUUUAAGUUCUGAGGAGCUUCUGGGCUCAUUAAUUCUUCAUGAGAAUAAAAUUAAUGGGAAAUUAGAAGAGUCAUUGGAGAAAGAUCCGGCAGAGAAGGCAUUGCAGGCACANNNN
RNAcentral lists this long non-coding RNA (205 nucleotides) under Nicotiana benthamiana. RNAcentral describes it as "long non-coding RNA (NBEN_LNC017290)". Lineage: Eukaryota; Viridiplantae; Streptophyta; Magnoliopsida; Solanales; Solanaceae. The record is from RNAcentral.